This is a long non-coding RNA of Epinephelus moara (kelp grouper), 292 nucleotides long. RefSeq lists it as uncharacterized. The record is from RefSeq and is a predicted model, not a curated record. The transcript is spliced from 3 exons. NCBI's taxonomy places the organism in Eukaryota, Metazoa, Chordata, Actinopteri, Perciformes, Serranidae.
GGCGUAGAAAUGCUCAGCACUGAUAUGGGUGAGACUACACUGGAAGCAACAGAGGUUCGCGAAAUGCUACCAGACAGUGCCAUCCGAGUCUGAAGAGGGCUCAGGUGAACUGUCUGACCAGACAGACGACAGUUCUGAUGAGGAUUAUGUGCCUCCCCUGCCUAUAAGAUUGGAAGCAGCUAUGGAAUCAAGGCCCAAAAUAGAGAAACUGCCUGCAAUUUCAACAGAUGAGACCGUCCAUGACCUCCCUGAAAACCUCGGAACAUCCUCUGAGGAAGAUGAUCUGCCUAGA